Long non-coding RNA from Zootoca vivipara (common lizard), 356 nucleotides. RefSeq lists it as uncharacterized. NCBI's taxonomy places the organism in Eukaryota, Metazoa, Chordata, Lepidosauria, Squamata, Lacertidae. The record is from RefSeq and is a predicted model, not a curated record.
UGAAAAAUGUACCCCAAAAUGCGUUGCCUUUUAAGAAGGACAGACGCAGGUCGGAAGCUCCAAAAUUUGCGCUAAGUUCAGCUCCGCCGGGAAAAUGACAGAGACCACACGAUGCUGUCAGGAAAAACAAACUGAUCCCUUUAUUGCAGAAUGCAAAGCUACAGCUGUAGGGUCCCUGCCUCUGGAAAGAAGGAAGGAACCCCGGGAAAUGGUGGGCAAUCCUUCGAGAUGGGCGCAGGAGUGGAGCGAUUUCCUGACGAUUUCCAUGAGGUGAUUUUCAUCCGGCAGGUGUUUUCCUUGAGGCCGCGGAAAGAUGGACUAUGGCAUGUUUAAUUUGAAUAAAGUUGUCAAGCUAA